UACGUAGGGGGCAAGCGUUGUCCGGAAUCAUUGGGCGUAAAGAGCGUGUAGGCGGUUCGGUAAGUCUGCUGUGAAAGUCCAGGGCUCAACCCUGGGAUGCCGGUGGAUACUGUCGGACUAGAGUACGGAAGAGGCGAGUGGAAUUCCCGGUGUAGCGGUGAAAUGCGCAGAUAUCGGGAGGAACACCAAUUGCGAAGGCAGCUCGCUGGGACGUCACUGACGCUGAGGAGCGAAAGCUAGGGGAGCAAACGGG
Molecule: ribosomal RNA, 253 nt
Filed under: uncultured bacterium
Lineage: Bacteria
Description: partial 16S ribosomal RNA
Rfam family: Bacterial small subunit ribosomal RNA
Source: RNAcentral